This 298-nucleotide long non-coding RNA is filed under the name Physcomitrium patens. Its description in RNAcentral is "long non-coding RNA (PPAT_LNC000154)". Lineage: Eukaryota; Viridiplantae; Streptophyta; Bryopsida; Funariales; Funariaceae. The record is from RNAcentral.
AGACUGAGGCAAUCGUUGCUGAAGUCAGUGUUGUAAUGGUGAAUCGAGAUUUUUAAUGAAGUGGGUGUGAUUACUCUUGACUGUUUUGUGAAAUCGAAGUUAUGUCUAUGAUUGAAGAAUUAAAAGGGUGUCUAUAAGAUUGAGUAUGCGGAGUGAAUGAAAUUUAUUGGAUUAAUCUAACGAGACAUUCAGUGGAUACAAGAUUGUGAGUAUAAAGCGAUAUCGAAGAUUAGUAGUUUGGGUUGUUUGGGAUUCUCCGUAAUGUCUAGAGACCUACCGGCUGAGGCAAAAAGGACUU